Molecule: long non-coding RNA, 13738 nt
Filed under: Nicotiana tabacum (common tobacco)
Lineage: Eukaryota; Viridiplantae; Streptophyta; Magnoliopsida; Solanales; Solanaceae
Description: long non-coding RNA (NTAB_LNC006928)
Source: RNAcentral
AGAAGGACUCCAACCUAACCAAGAAAACCUUAGCCGCCUCCUGCUUGAAAAUGAAACCUCACCCAUUUCUUUCCCUUUGAAAGAAUCGAAAAUCUAUCCUGCUUUUGAUUUGGUUUGAGUUCAAUCUCCAAAUAACACCAAAGACAUUUAAUCUCAUAGAUCUAGUUUUAGCUUUAUUUUAAAACAUAGAUUUUCAUCUUCUGACUCCAAAUUCAUUGUUCCAAAUUCAGAAAUAACACCCAAAACUAUCUUGAGUUCUCUUUGAUUCAGAUUUAUUGCAAGAAGAAAGAUGAAUUUGUGAUGAGAUGCUUUGUUCGAGUCGAGGUUUCUUUUGGGGUCAAAGCCGAGGUGCAUGACAAGAUUCUUGGGUUGAGGUCCUAUUAGCAUUUUGUUGCAGACAUUAGUUUGGCUAAUCAAAUGGUCAUGUACAAAACAUAGUUCACAGUUCUUUUGUUAAUAUACUAAGAAGAUUUGCUAUCUUAAGGUCCAUCUCUUCCUCUGUUUUAUUGUCUGAUUAAGUUGUUGUUGAGUUUAACUAUUAAUUGCUUGUGAUUUCUUCCGUUACUAAUUGGUAUUUGGUUAAGUACGAUAUACAAUACUACAUGUUGUUGAUUUAGUUGUUGACGAACAUGGGUUAGGAUAAGGCUAAUUUAAAUGGGUUAUGAGCGUGAUUAAGAAUAUGAUACCAUGGUUUUCUUGCGUGCUUAUCCAUUGCCAGUGAUUGAUCUUUCUUUCUUUUUGUGUUCAUUUCUAUUGUCAAGUAUUAAGUCAUGGUCAUAUGUGAAAUCUUCAUGGCUGACAUGUUUUGAAUAAUAUAUAGUGAGAUAAUUUUGGUAUUGCUGCAUCAAUAAUAAAAAAUGGAAAAACCAGCAGCUCUUUGAAAUUGGGAUUUUGGGUUAACUUUAUUUUAAAUGGCUAAUAGGUCGUGGAGUUUGCUUCAAUGAUAAUGGGACCUUUGAAGUCUAGUAUUGGGACAUCAAUUAAAAAAUAUAGAAGAUUUGGACUUUGUUAUAGUUUAAGGUGAAUGAGCUGCAGUUUCUUUUAGUCAAAUAAAAAUUGAAUUUUAGAAUUCGAUCAUUAAUUGUAGAGUAUUGGUAAAUAUUGGGUUAAGUUAUUUCGAUAGCUAACCCCUUUUAAGGGCUUUAGAUAUAAAUGAGAUUUUUCAAUGUUAAAAAUGAAUAAGUCUUACACUCUAUCAACAAUAAUUUCAUAGUGUAUGUCCUUCAUAGUAACCUCAAAGUACGAAAAAUAAUAUUCGAACAUCGUAGCUUAUUUUAGGCGCGACUUAAUCUAUCAUUAUGAUUGUGUACACGUUUGCGUGCCAUAAUUGCUUCUUUUUAAAAAUAAAAUAAAAAUCAAAGUAUGCGUUCGCGCAACUUUAACCAAACUUUCUUAAUAAUAACAAAGUGUCUUUAAUUGUAUACACGUACGCGUGACAUGAAUUUUGAUGCAUCAAACAAAAUGAGCACACGUACGCAUGACUCGUUUAAAGAUAAUUCCCUAAUUAUGAAUAAUUAAGCAAUUUAAUAACGGUAAAAGGUGAAAUGUACAUAGGUUCUAAAAUGAGUAAUUAAACAAUUUAAUUAAGUCAGGUAUGAUUAAAGUGAUCGUGCUAAAACCACGGAAUCCGGGAAUGCCUAACACCUUCUCCCGGGUUAACAGAAUUCUUUACCCGGUCUUUUGUGUUCGCAGACCACAAAAAUAAAGUCAAAUUUCUUCGAUUUGGGAUUUAAAAUAAAUCGGUAACUUGGUACACCAUAUAAUUAUCCCAAUUGGCGACUCUGAUUAAAUAAAUAAUCCAAUUUCGAUUAUUGUCACUUUAAUUGGAAAAACUCCUUUAUAUCCCUUUUUUGGGUAAAAAGGAGGUGUGACAGCUCUAGCGACUCUGCUGGGGAUAGAAACCCGAAAUCUCUGGUUCAGGGUUCAGAAUUCGAGCUUGUUAAUAUUAUCUAUGCUUGGCUUUAUUGUUUGUUGAUAUUACUGUAUUUGUGGACCUAAUGUGCUAAUUGUCGCUUUGAUAUUAUUUGAACUGUAUUAAACUGUCUUCUUAUGCCUCCUUUCCGAGUCUUCUAAAAUAUGGUGCACAAAUACACGUGGCUCACUUUUCUAUUAGAAGUCAUACCAAAUAGAAUGAGGCUGGAUCAACAACUAGGCCGGAUAGACUUUCGUGCUCCCGAUAUGUUGCCCCCACCUCGGCUCGAGCUGUCCGCUUGGGUAAGCCAGGUCUAAAACACUCCCCCAGGAUUUAAACCUAGAAUAACAUAGCCUCAUGUCAGAUCCCUAGUAAGAACGUUUAUUUGCAUUACAUACAUUUGACUUUGGGGACUCAACACAGGGGUUGGGUUCGUCUAGGACAGGUGUACCUGAAAUAAAAGACCAUCUUGAUGCAUCUUACGUGCUAUUUGUACAUUUGUUUGUUUCGGCUUGUAUGUUGACCGGCUAAGUAAAGAAAACAACAGAAAAACCAAGAGUGAGGUAGGGUAGAGAAUUAAAACCCCGGUAUUUAAAAAUGCCUCGGAACUCUGCCAAAAGUUUUGAAAAACAAAAGAAAAGAAGAAAAUAUAUUUCAAAAAAAAAUAAAAGUGAGUCAAUAUCAUAUUUUUCCGGUUAUGUCAAAACUGACCGAACUACGCGGGUCUAAUUCUCACCGGAUGUGAGAUACGUAGGCAAACAUGAUCGGUUCCGGCCCACAAUUUUUUAAAAAAAUCAAAAAAUAUUUUUCAUUACUUGCUUCUUUAGAAAGUCUUUCUUUUAGACCCCAAUUUUGUUUAAACAACAAAUCCAAAAAUAUUUUCUUUUAAUUUCUUCUCAAAAUCCAAAAAUACUUUCAUUCUUCUUUCAAAAAUUGAAAAGAAAUUCAAGAUUCAAAAAUAUUUUCUUUUUCUUUAGAAGAAUUUCUUUCAUAAAUUCAAAAUAAAAUUCCAAAAAUCCAAAAAUAAUUCCUUUCUUCUUUAGAAGUUUUCUUUCGAAAUUCCAAAAAAAAAAUUCCUUUCUUCUUUAGAAGUCUUUCUUUUCAAAAAAAUUAUUUUUUAAAAAAAUCAAACAAAUCGAAAUCUAGAAAUAUUUUGUUUCUUCUUUUUAAGUCUUUCUUUCGAAAAAAUACCCAAAAUCCAAAAAAAAGAGUUAGUUUAUUUACUUUAUUUCUAAUCUUCCCAAACUACGCAAUAUAUUUCAUGUUCCCACAUGAUACAUAGGCAACCCACAUAAGGUUCGAUCAAAUGAUUUUGAAAAAGAAGAAGAAAAGAAAGUAAAAAAAAGAAUAAUAAUAAUAUGGACCGACUGAGUCCAUUCUAAUAUGUUGUUUGUUUUGAAUUGUGAAUAACGUUUAAGGUGGUCAGUUUAUGGUAAGCUAACAAGACAAAAUCCACAGGAAAAAUGACAACUGACAUCGAAGAUGUUGCAAGCAAUCAUGAGACUCAGGAUCAUAGGGUUCAACAAGAGUCUACUGUGGUUGAGGAAAAUAGAGUACUGAAACAAAAAAUGACUGAAAUGUGUCAAGCAUGGGCCAAUGGCCAAGGACCUCCCUUUUCAUCCCAUGGUUUACCAGAGUUCACACCCAUCUCGACUACUGCCAUUCCGAUCUCGUUGUCUGAUCAAUCCUAUCCACCUGAGUUCAGUCCUUAUCCUAACGGUACGACUACAACUGGAACUUUUGUUGCAUGCUCUCAAAGUUUGCCAUUGACAACCAAUCAGACAACCACUACUGUUAUGCCCGUCUUCACCAUCCCACAACCGACGAUAGUGCAGAGGAAAACUCACGAGUCAUAGUUUGCUACCCAGCAAGAGUAGUACCACUCUCCUUAGUACCACUCGUACUUGUUUUAUCUUCCUGCAAACAUUGAGAAGCCAACCCGAAAGAUGGCACAUGAAGAAAUGUCCCAAAGAUUGAAAAGCUUAGAACAACGGUUGCAAAACAUGCAGGGGUUGGCAGGUCAGUAGGGUUUUGCCUUCAAGGAUUUAUGUAUGUUCCCCGAUGUUCAUUUGCCACUUGGUUUUAAGAUCCCCAAAUUUGAAAGGUAUGAUGGACAUGGAGACCCCAUAGGGCGCCUGAAAAGGUAUUACAAUCAGCUAAGAGGUUCAUGAAGAAAUGAAGAAUUGCUAAUAGCUUAUUUUGAGGAAAGCCUUACGGGUGUAGCCUGCGAAUGGUUUAUGGAUCAAGACACAUAUUGCUGGUAUGUCUGGGAUGACAUAACCCAGGCCUUUGUCAAACAGUUCCAAUAUAACAUCGACAUCGCCCCAGACCGUAAUUCCCUUUCAAACCUGAAGAAGAAACUAACUGAAAGUUUCAGGGAAUAUGCUAUUAAAUGGAGAGAGCAAGCAGCUAGAGUUAAGACACCCAUGGAUGACCACGAGCUAAUCACUGUCUUCCUUCAGGCUUAAGAGCGAGAUUACUUUCAAAAUAUGAUGUCCACAGUUGGCAAAUCCUUUUCGGAAGCAAUCAAAAUUGGAGAAAUGGUAGAGAAUGGACUUAAGACAGGCAGAAUUAUAAGUCAAGCAGAUCUCAAAGCUGCAACCCAGGCUGUCCAAAUUGAAUAUGGUAGUUUUAGUGAUAUAAAUAAGAUGGAUGAAGAAAUCAUGAUGACAUCAGGGUCGAGAAGAGGUCCUAGAAGAACAUCUCAAAGGUAUGACCAGCCUCGUCUGUUUUUCGAUGAUUCCCCUGAGCACUACUAUCCACCUCAGAACCCACAAUACUCUGUUGCUCCACCUCAGUAUGGUGUCCAGCCACCAAGACACCCCAGAAGGCGAGCACCGGCACUGCAAAAUCUCCACCAGCCUCCACAAAAUUUUCAAGUGCCCUAUAACCCACAUCCAAGGCAGAGGUAUAAAGGGGAACAAAGGUUGAAAGAUAAUUUUACUCCAAUAGGAGAGUCCUAUGCAAGCUUGUUUGAGAAAUUAAAGCAUUAUUACAUGAUUGCACCUAUUUGUCCAAAUCAUGUAGAUCCACGUGCAAGAAGCUUUGACCCUUCUAAAAGGUGCAAAUACCAUUCCAAUGCCCUGGGGCACAAUGUUGAAAGCUGUUAGGAUUUGAAAAUAGAAAUAGAAAGGAUCAUCCAGGAAAAACUGAUUGUGAUCCAAGAUAGUGACACCUAGAAUAUCACGCAGAAUCCUUUACCUGCACAUGAUGAUGCACACUUUGUGGGGAUGAUGCCUGGUGACAUGGAGUAUGAGAAUCUUCUCGGGAACUUGCCGACUGAAAUUGGAGAAGUCCAUGGUGAUUUUGAUGAGCAAAUUUGCGGCUAAAUAUCAAGCUUAGCAAUUGAAAAGUCAUUCCAUCCUCACUGGGAAGGAACCUUGGUAGCUUGUUUUGAUGUUUUUUUCUAUUAUCUAGGUUAUUGCAGGGUUGUCAUCCAUAUUUUAUUUGUUUUAUUGAGUCAAACCCUUCUAUCCCUCUAUUCUGUUUGUGUUAGUCUUAUCUGUCUGGUUUUGCUGCUAUUUUCAUUAGCCGGGUUAUAUUAGGGUUGUAACUCGAAUUUUAGGUUGUUUGUCUUGUUGUUUACUCAAUGAAAUAUAGUUUUUCCUUUUGUUUCAUUCCAUGCUUAGUUCUUUUCCCGCUAGUUUUAGUGAUAUGACAUGCAUGUGGAAUUUUUAGCGAGAUCUUAAAAAAUUAAUUUAAGCUUGAAUUGGAUAACUAAGAACAAGUCUUUUUUUAGGAUGAAUAAAGAGUUGAAAUACUUGAGAAUUAAGGUCGAGUAAAAUUCACCUUCAAAUCAUUGUGAUGAUUGGGCUUGAUGAUGUUUAAUCAAUUGAAGCUUGGUCGAAAGUUUGACAUUAAUGGAUGGAAAGUGUCUUUUAACCACGACACACUAAGACGAUAGACAUGUUCAUCAAUGCUAUAAUCACAAAAAGAUAAUAUGUUGGCGUUCUCGAGGCUGGGAGGCCCUUUUUCUGCUACCUAAAUAGUUUAUACCCUUUGUUACCCCUUUUGAGCCUGUGCUAUUUUCUUUGAACACCCUAUUUUGGAAUCAAAUUUAGAGUCAAGAGUCAAAAAAAAGGAAAAGAAAAGUCCAUGUCCCAAGAGUACAAACUGGGGAAAUUCUUAGAAAGUUCAAGUGAAAAAAAAAUAAAGAAAAAAAGAACUGUCAAAGGUCCAUGCCCCUAGAAAAUAGAAGCUGGGGGAACUUGUUUUGAAAACAAUAAAAAAAAAGACAAAGAAAGAAAGAUGAAAAAAAUAGUUAGGUCAGAUGUUUGAACGACGUUAGACCUAAUUCCUUUAAAAAGGAUACGUAGGUAGCCUUACACGGUUCAGUCCAACCAAAUAAGAAUUCAAAAGAAAAAAAAUCUAAAAUUCCUAGUAUCUGAAAUUGGGGCAAAGAUUUUAUUUCACAUUUGAAAGAGUCGAUUCCAAGAGUUGUAAGUUUACAACCCCUUUAGUUUGAGUCUACUUCGAGCCUUAUGCCGUCCUUUUUUUCCAACCCUAUCCAAAACCCUGCCAAAUAAAGACCUCCUGAUAUGCCUUCAAGAAUGUCAAGAGAAGCAUGCAAUGAGCAACGGUUGUCACGCGAUAUAGAACACUGUUAAGUUGCUCACACAAGAAAGCAAAAGAAAAAGAACAAUAAAGAAGAAAAAUGAGAGAUUCUUACUAGUGAAAACCCUCAUGGGCACUGUAAGACGACGGUAAACAGAAAUAAAUAAAUGAGAGAGGCUUGCCAGUGAAAACCCCUCGGGGCAUCACUAGUCGAAAGUGAGUCGUGAAGCUGAUGCAAAGGAUUGGCACGAACAAGCCCGACUUCAAAGUCAUAAGAAUGGUAAAAUGGAAGAUUUGAUCAGAUUGAUAGAUCGGCUGUUAAGUCCAAAAUGCAUGUCAUGAUCAUUAAGGCUAGUUAUUGAGAAGGAAAAAAAACUCCUCUUUCUGUCCUUAUCGACAGGGGCAUUUCUUUUUAAUACUUGUUUUUUUGCAUCAUUGUGUCCUUCACUCUGAGUCAGCCCUUGUCAAUACAAGCAAGAAAAGAUUUCAAAAUCUUUUACCAACUUUUCAAUUUCAUAACGUAAAUUUGGUCAGCAUACUCAGCUGUUACAAUCAACAUGACUUGAGGAUUCAUGCAAAGGCCUCUCCCAAAAGACUCUUGUCAGCCUACUUGGUGCAAGCAAAGAUAACUUAUGAUUCUCUUUGAUAGACAAAUUUCUCAAAAACAGGAAAUCACUGAAGAUAUCAGAAAAAGUUACUUGAGCAAAGAUCUCCAGUCAGGAUAAGGUUGAUUGAGCCACAAAACACCAAUGGCAUGGGAGCGAAACAAUCAGGAUGGAUACAAGAAGUAAAGGUCCCUUGAAAGCAACAACAGAGUCUCCCAACAGUGCAGUCAACUACCAAUGUAGUCGUCCUUCUAAAAGUGAAUGGACACAAAGCGAAACUGCUCAAGACUCAAGGCCACAAACCGACCACCACUUUUUUAAAAUUGACAAAAUUUUCUUUGUUUGAAGUAGGAACAAAGCAGUGCAAGGAAAGUGGCUUAAAAAAAAGAAAAAAGAGAAGAGAAAAAAGAGAAGAGAAGAGCCGACAAAGGGAAGUUUCUAAAAUCGUUGUCUUUAUUUGUCCUGCUAAUGUACAUAAAAUGUUGCCAUUGCACUCACAUUUUUCCUCCUAAGAUAAAAAGCCCUAGUCUGAUGAACUUUCUCCUAGGAUACAAAUCUUAGUCUGAUGAAUCUUUCUCCUAAGAUAGAAGACCUAGUGUGAUGAACUUUCUCUUAGGAUAGAAAUCUUAGUCUGAUGAACUUUUCUCCUAAGAUAAGAAAACCUGAUCUGAUGAAUUUUCUCCUAGGAUAGAAAUCUUAGUCUGAUGAAUCUUUCUCCUGAGAGAACAAAAACAAAAGGACCUAGUCUGAUGAAUUUUCUCCUAGGAUCAAAAUCGUAGUCUGAUGAAUAUUUCUCCUAAGAUAGAAGACCUAGUCUAAUGAACUUUCUCCUAAGAUAAAUAUUUUAGUCUGAUGAAUAUUUCUCCUAAGAUAACCAAAAAAAGACCUAGUCCGAUGAACUUUCUCCUAGGAUCGAAGUCUUAGUCUGAUGAACUUUCUAUUAGGAUCAAAGUCUUAGUCUGAUGAAUUUUUCUCCUAAGAUAAGAAAACCUAGUUUGAUGAAUUUUUCUCCUAAGAUAAUAAAUUAGAAAAUCUAGUCUGAUGAACUUUCUCCUAGGAUAGAUGUCUUAGUCUGAUGAAUUUUUCUCCUAAGAUAUAGAAAAUUGAGUCUGAUGAAGUCUCUCCUAGGAUAAUUUGUUUUUAAAAAAAAAGGAAGUUUGGAUUUGAAAAAAGGGUCAAUUUUUAGUUUUCUUAAGUUAUCAAUCUCUAGUUUUCUUGAAAUCAGGGGCCCCGCCUGGAGAAUAUGGUCAAUUUUUACUUUAGUCAAGCUUAGUUUAUAGUAUUUCGCAAGCUCAAUAUCAAAUCUAGGAGACACACUUCCUAGUUUGGAUUAUUCAAGUUUCAUCCCUAGGAGAUGCACAUCCUAGUCGAGUCUUUAAUUUUAAUCUCAUCAUUGCAUCCUUCGUCAACAGCGUAGGUGAUUUAUAGUUCUGCUAACAACUUACAAAUCUUCCUAUUGCAAACUGGGGCAAAAAAGUUUCUUUUGUUUUAUCUAUUUUGCUAUAGUAGCAGGCGCCCACCUGGAGAACAAGAGAAUUCAUUUCAGAGUUACUUCAAAUUUCAAGCCAGUAGCAGGCGCCCAACUGGAGAACGAGGGAAGUUAUCUCAGAAUUCAACUCAAGAUAGAAGUAGCAGAAGCUCACGACAAGAAUGUGAGUCGUUAGUCCGAGAUGACCCAAAAAAAUAAAAAUAAAAAGUGAAUCCAAAAUGCAGAAGAAGAGAAAGAUGUGAACUGCUCAAGACAUGGCUGAAGUCACGAGCAUUACAUGUCCGGUCUGGAUCCGAAUAAGUCGUGGAAGAAUGAAUCAGCACCUGCAGCUAGCAAAGGUUCAAAUCAAAGUCUGCAUGAAGAACCGUUCAGGAAUCAAGAUCAAGCUUCAGAAGACUAAUAGAUAUGAAUCUUAAUACUUAGUUAGUCUUUUUCAUUUUUGAUUUUGAUGUAAUAACAGGACCACGGACCGGAACCUCGACGGCACCUUAAUCAGCUCUCCACCUCAGUAUAAUCCAUCACUCUUCCUAAUUUUGAACUACAUGUGGACUGAUUCCUUUAUAGCCAAGGAUAUGUAGGCAGCUCAGAUACCAGGACUCAGUCAUAUUCUCCUUUCUUUUAGUUUUUGGUCUCUCUAAAUAAGGGUCGGGUCAAAAAACCUGUCUCGUCGUUCUUUAUCUGAAAACUCUUCGUGUUUCCAGUCAAAGAGGGGCAGCUGUAGACAUGUAAUUUUUUAGCCUCUCAAAGAUUUUACAUAUUAUAGCAUUUAAAUAUUUAGUUUAGGCCUAAUAUCGCUAUUUCAACUAGUUUUGACUCUUUUACUUUAUUUUGUCACAAAAAUAAAAAUUAAAAAACUAUUUUUUCUUUUAUUUAGGUAAUUGAUAUUUUAUCUUGUUACUUUUAGUUUAUCUACCUUUCAUAAAAUUCAAAAAUACAAAAAUAGUUCCAUUUGUUUCCAUUUUUAUCUUUUAGUAUGAUAUUUGAAAAAUACCAAAAAUAGAUUUGUUUUAACGGUUAGUUUUAUUUUAAUAGUUAUUUUACUUAAGUAGGAUUAAUUAGUAAAUGGGGUAGUAUUUUUAGUCUAGUUCAAUGAGAAAGAAUAAAAUUUGUGCUCAAACAAUCCACUUUUUAGGCCCAAUUUUCGGAUUAGCCCAUUAAGCCCAAUACCCAAUGCCCACUAAGCUAACCUUAGAGACCCUUGUAGAUACUGAUCUUCCUCUCUUAACCAUAUAUAAACAAAUACAUACACAGAGACGGAAGGAUUCCCACCUAACCAAGAAAACCUUAGUCGCCUCCUACUUGAAAAUGGAACCUCACCCAUUUCUUUCCCUUUGAAAAAAUCAAAAAUCUAUCCUACUUUUGAUUUGGUUUGAGUUCAAUCUCCAAAGAACACCAAAGACAUUUAAUCUCAUAGAUCUAGUUUUAGCUUUAUUUUAAAACUUAGAUUUUCAUCUUCUGACUCCAAAUUUCUUGUUAGUUCCAAAUUCAGAAAUAACACCCAAAACUAUCUUGAGUUCUCUUUGAUUCAGAUUUAUUGCAAGGAUAAAGAUGAAUUUGUGAUGCGAUGCUUUGUUCGAAUCGAGGUUUCUUUUGGGGUCAAAGCCGAGGUGUGUGACGAGAUUCUCGGGUUGAGGUCCUAUUAGCAUUUUGUUGCCGACUUUAGUUUGGCUAAUCAAAUGGUCAUGUACAAAGCAUGGUUCACAAUUUUGUUUAUUAAUAUACUAAGAAGAUUUGCUAUCCUAAGGUCCGUCUCUUCCUCUGUUUUAUUGUCUGAUUAAGUUGUUGUUGAGUUUAACUAUUAAUUGCUUGUGAUUUCAUCCGUUACUAAUUGGUAUUUGGUUAAGUACAAUAUACAAUACUACAUGUUGUUGAUUUAGUUGUUGACGAACAUGGGUUAAGAUAAGGCUAAUUUAAAUGGGUUAUGAGCGUGAUUAGGAAUAUGAUACCAUGGUUUUCUUGCGUGCUAAUCCAUUGCCGGUGAAUGAUCUUUCUUUCUUUUUGUGUUCAUUUCUAUUGUCAAGUAUUAAGUCAUGCUCAUAUGUGAAAUCUUCAUGGCUGACAUGUUUUGAAUAAUAUAUAGUGAGAUAAUUUUGGUAUUGCUGCAUCAAUAAUAAAAAAUGGAAAAACCAGCAGCUCUUUGAAAUUGGGAUUUUGGGUUAACUUUGUUUUAAAUGGCUAAUAGGUCGGGGAGUUUGCUUCAAUGAUAAUGGGGCCUUUGAAGUCUAGUAUUGGGACAUCAAUUUAAAAAUAUAGAAGAUUUGGACUUUGUUAUAAUUUAAGGUGAAUGAGCUGCAGUUUCUUUUAGUCAAAUAAAAAUAAAUUAUAGAAUUCGGUCAUUAACUGUAGAGUGUUGGUAAAUAUUGGGUUAUGUUAUUUCGAUAGUUAACCCCUUUUAAGGGCUUUAGAUAUAAAUGAGAUUUUUCAAUUUUAACAAUGAAUAAGUCUUACACCCUAUCAACAAUAAUUUCAUAGUAUAUGUCCUUCACAGUAACCUCAAAGUACGAAAAAUAAUAUUUGAACAUCGUAGCUUAUUUUAGGCGCGACAUAAUCUAUCAUUAUGAUUGUGUACACGUUCGCGUGCCAUAAUUUUAUUUUUAAAAAAAUCGAAGUAUGCGUUUGUGUAACUUCAGCCAAACUUCUUAAUAAUAACAAAGUAUCUUUAAUUGUUUACACGUACGCGUGAAAUAUUUUUUGACGCACCAAACAAAAUGAGCACACAUACGCGUGACUCAUUUAAAGAUAAUUCCCUAAUUACGAAUAAUCAAGCAAUUUAAAAGCUUUAAAAGGUGAAAUGCAUAUAGGUUCUAAAAUGAGUAAUUAAACAAUUUAAUUAAAUCAGGUAUGAUUAAAGCGACCAUGCUAAAAUCACAGAAUCCGGGAAUGUCUAACACCUUUUCCCGGGUUAACAAAAUUUCUUACCUGGUCUUCUGUGUUCGCAGACCACAAAAAUAGAGUCAAAUUUUCUCGAUUUGGGAUUAAAAAUAAACUAGUGACUUGGGACACCAUAUAAUUAUCCCAAGUGGCGACUCUGAUUAAAUAAAUAAUCUCAUUUUGAUUAUUGUUACUUUAAUUAAAAUAACUCCCUUAUAUCCCCCUUUCGGGUAAAAAGGAGGUGUUACACUUGGAACAAAAAUGUGUUGGAUAAUAUUUUCCAUAAAAAAAUAUAUUAUUGUCAGACUUCGAGGCAUUCAGAAAUCUAAUGCCUACCCCUUCAACACCUUUCUUCAAAAUCUAAAAGGUCAUUUUCUAGAGGAGUAUUCCUCUAUUUUCAAAUGUGAAGAGGUCUUUUGAAAAACUAAGUCUAUGAUCAACUGGCUGAUGGAGCGUGAUGCUAAUACUAGAUUCUUUCAUACGUCAACCCUCAAUAUAAGAAUAAGGAAUAAAAUCAUGGCCCUAUAGAAUGAUGUAGGGAGUUGGAUGAGAGCAGUAAGAAAUCAAAAACACUAUUAACCACUACUACUCCAAUCUAUUCACAACUGAACACCUGGGCUCACCGAAAAAGCACAAUUUAUAAUUCCAAUACUCUAUCCAAUAGGGAACAAGCUAUUCUGAAUGCCCCCCCCUAAGGAUUAGUGAAAUCAAAGUGGCCAUGUUCUCGUUCAAACCUACAAAGGCCCCUGGACCUGAUGGUCUUCAUCCCUUUUUCUAACAAAGAUACUGGAAUAUCCUUGAAAGCAAAAUAACUCAGUUUUGUAAUCAGAUUUUCAAUACCCUAGAAAUGAAACCUUAAGUUAAUAAAACAUACCUCUAUCUGAUACCUAAGUGUGCCAAUCUACAAUCUAUAAGAAUUUCAGACCUAUAGAGCUAUGCAACACCAUGUACAAAUUGAUUACCAAAAUAAUUGUCAAUAGAAUCAAGCCUGUCCUCCCUUCCAUCAUUGGCCCAAGUCAGGCCAGUUUCUUGUCCAAUAUGAGCCAGUGAUAAUGCCAUCAUUAUCCAGGAAUAUAUCAGUCAUUUUACUAAGAUGAAAGGAAAAAAUUCUAACAUGAUUCUCAAGAUUGACCUAGAAAAGGCAUUUGACAGUUUGGAAUGGUCCUUUACUAGGGACACUCUGGUGUUCUUUGGUUUUCCCCAUAAUAUGACCAAAUUAAUCAUGUAUUGCAUUUCUUCAAGCUCUAUUUCUAUCUUGAUUAAUGGGAGUAGGAUUGACUUCUUUCAUCCUAGUAGGGCUAUCAGGCAAGGGGACCUUAUGUCCCCUUACAUUUCAUCACGUGCAUGGAAAGAUUAUCCAGAAACAUUGAGGCUCAAGUGCAACAUGGUAGUUGGUGUUCCAUCAAAAUUAGCCACACUGGGCCAAAAAUCUUCUACCUAUUAUUUGCUGAUGACCUAACCCUAUUUUCUAGGGCAAACACCAAGAAUUGUGCCACAAUUAUGGAGACUGAUGUAUUGUAGAAUUGCGGCACUUUUGAUACUAAUUACAUAGAUUUUAGCUCGUAUUUUAAAGAAUUUUAAGCUAUUUCUUAUGUAGUUUUGGUUUUUUACAGUAAACCAGACUUGAAGAACCAAGAACACGGAAAAGAUGACAAAAAUCCAUAGAAGGGCAGAAAUGCAGCAGGUUUGCGACUGCAAAAGUGAUGUGCGGGCCGCAGACCAUCCCAACUCUGAGAGUGGAUUUUGCGGUCUAUUGUGCGGUCACAUAACGCUUGUGCGAACCUCAUAAUGACUGCAAAAAUGCAAAAGAGUUUCUAUGAGAAUGACUUUUUGGUACCAAAUGCGGUCACGAAAUCAAUGUGCGUACCGCAUAACAGAAGUGCGGUGGAAAAUUGGACAACUGGAAAAUCAACUCUGUGAAGGAAUUGCAAAUAUGCGGUCCAUGAAAGUGUUCUGCGACCCGUUCUACGGUCACAGACGUGAUCUUCAAGGUUAUUUUUGUCACUUUUUGACCCCAACUUUUAGCCCAUUAUAAAUAGAAUAACUAGGAUUUUUAUGGGAUAUCUUGUCUGAAAAAGAGGCUACACUUAGAGCAUUGAAUACACUAUUAUUUUGAAAGCUUUUGAAGAGAGAAUCUUGUCAUCUUUGUAAGUUUUAUGACUUUAUUUAUUGCUUUUUUCUUGGAUUCUAGUAUGAGUAGCUAGUUUAAAUACUAAGGUUGUGGACCCUAAAUGGGUGUAAUGUUAAUGGGUGUAUACCAUUGAAUAUAUAUAUAUAUGGUUGGUUGGUAUCUAUUCAUUUCUCAUG